GUAGGUGGCAAGCGUUGUCCGGAAUUAUUGGGCGUAAAGCGCGCGCAGGGCGGUCCUUUAAGUCUGAUGUGAAAGCCGACGGCUCAACCGUGGAGGGUCAUUGGAAACUGGAGAACUUGAGUACAGAAGAGGAAAGCGGAAUUCCACGUGUAGCGGUGAAAUGCGUAGAGAUGUGGAGGAACACCAGUGGCGAAGGCGGCUUUCUGGUCUGUAACUGACGCUGAGGCGCGAAAGCGUGGGGAACAAACAGGAUUAGAUACCCUGGUAGUCCACGCCGUAAACGAUGAGUGCUAAGUGUUAGGGGGUUUCCGCCCCUUAGUGCUGCAGCUAACGCAUUAAGCACUCCGCCUGGGGAGUACGACCGCAAGGUUG
RNAcentral lists this ribosomal RNA (372 nucleotides) under uncultured organism. RNAcentral's name for it is "partial 16S ribosomal RNA". It matches the Rfam family "Bacterial small subunit ribosomal RNA", at positions 527 to 896 of the family's 1533-position model. The record is from RNAcentral.